This 79-nucleotide microRNA precursor is filed under the name Canis lupus familiaris (dog). RNAcentral's name for it is "mir-8799 microRNA precursor family". It matches the Rfam family "mir-8799 microRNA precursor family", at positions 9 to 84 of the family's 90-position model. The record is from Rfam by way of RNAcentral. Lineage: Eukaryota; Metazoa; Chordata; Mammalia; Carnivora; Canidae.
GCAGGGUCCUGGGCUGUGUUCCCCGGUGCCCUGGGCUCCAGGGCCUGCGCCACUGGAAUCGUGCUCCUGGGCCGCGCAG